Molecule: RNA transcript, 2519 nt
Organism: Dendroctonus ponderosae (mountain pine beetle)
Lineage: Eukaryota; Metazoa; Arthropoda; Insecta; Coleoptera; Curculionidae
Exons: 3
Source: RefSeq, a predicted model, not a curated record
UAACUGCACUACAAGUUAUGUGCUUCUUUGAAAUUCAUGUCAAGUUCAAAAGCUUCUAAAAAUCAGCUGAAGUUCCGCUUUUAAUGAAAUUUUAUCCAAUAUUAAGCAAGAUCUUCCUCUUCACUCUGUCGAAAUUUUAGUUUAAUAUUCGAACUGGUUAGGGAGUUAUGCUGCCCUACAAACCACGUAAUUUCUUGAAAUUUACGUUAAGUUCAAAAGCUGCGAAAAAAUCAGUGGAGGACCGAUAUUCAAAGACAUUUCGUCGAAUUUUAGACCAAAUUAUCUCCUCAAUAGUUCCAAAACUUCAAGUUGCUACUCUAACUCAUUCGACAGUUAUGAUUUUUUGCUUAACUGCACUUGAAGCUAUGCGGUUUCUUAAAACUAACGUCCAUUUCAAAAACUUCUGGAAAAUGAGUGGCGGAUUGGCAUUCAUUAAAAUUUCAUUCGAUUUACGCAAGAACCUUCCUUUCCAUCGUGCUGAAGCUUCAAGUUGUUACUCCAUCUGGUUUGGAAGUUAUGAUUUUUUCUUUAACUGCACAACAAACUAUGCGUUGUCUUCAAAGUAACGUCACGUUCAGAAGCUUCAAAAAGUCAAUAAAGCAUCUCCAUUCAAUGAAGCUUCGUCCAGUUUUAGACAUAGAUUUUCUUGGUUGUGUCGAAACUUAAACUUACUAUUCCAACGAGUUUGGGAGUUAGGAUUUUUGGUUUAACUGCACUACAAGUUAUGUGCAUCCUUGAAAUUUACGUCAAGUUCAAAAGCUUCUAAAAAAUCAGCUGAAGUUUCGCUUUUAAUGAACUCUUAUCCAAUAUUAGGCAAGAUCUUCCUCUUCCCUUUGUCGACAUGUCAGUUUCGUAUUCGAAGUGGUUAGGGAGUUAUGAUUUUUUAUUGAACUGUACUAUAAACCACGCAAUUUCUUGAAAUUUACGUCAAGUUCAAAAUCUGCGAAAAACUCAGUGCAGGAUUGAUUUUCGAUGAAAUUUGGUCGAAUUUUGGUCAAAAUUAUCUCCUCCAUCGCUCCAAAACUUCAAGUUGCUACUCCAACUCAUUCGAGUUUAAUUGCACUACAAGUUAUGCGGUUUCUUAAAACUAACGUCCACUUCAAAAAUCCUGAAAAAUGAGUGGAGGAUCGGCAUUCAAUAAAGUUUCAUUCGAUUUAAGGAAAAACCUUCCUUUUUAUCUUGCCGAAACUUCAAGUUGUUACUCCAUCUGGUUUGGAAGUUAUUAUUUUUUCCUUAACUGCACUUCAAAUUAGGCGUUUUCUUGCAAGAAACGACACGUUGAAAAGGUUCAAAAAACUUAAUAAAGCAUCUCCAUCCAAUAAAGCUUCCUCCAGUCUUAGUCCAAGCUUUCUUCUUGAUCGUACCGAAAGCCACUACAGUCUACAACUCAAACAAACCGCAACUCACCCAAACGAACCCGAAACUGUCCCAAACUAUCCAAGUUGCAACAGGACAAUUAUGUAUGAAUUAAUUCACAUUUGUAAUUUUUUGUCUGCCUAAAAACAAUGAUGAAUCAGAAUACAAAUCUCUUUAAAGUGAUAAAACCGCAGCUGACCAGAUCCGCUUAAUGAUGUUAACAAUCUGCCUCAGCCCUUUCAUUAGCUGCCAAUAAAUUUGAAAUUUAAAUGCUCGAAAGAUCCAAUGAGGAAGAACAGCUGAAAAUUUUCACGAAAAACCAUACUACACACGAUCAUUAACCACGCCCAAUUGUCCAGGUGUAAUAUGCGGGUAAAAAACAACACAAGCCAAAUAGAUAAUACCUUUGAAGCCCGAUGAUACCAUCUUCAGUUUUAGUGAAGGUUUAGUGGUUAAAACGUCAUCAUCGGGUGCCUGAACUAAUCAAUAGCCUCCAAAUGUAUCAAUUUGCUUCCAUUGAGGGCGAUUUUCUGCUGAAAGCCUCUUCCAGUUCUCAAGAUUUUUACGUCGACAAAUGUCUUGCAAGUGGAGUGCCCCAAGAGGAGAAUUUCAAAAGAACUUUGAGGGAAAAAAACGGUUAUCCGCACGUGCCUCAUAGUGAAAAAUCGCCUCAAAUUGUCGCUAAGAGAAAUGCCCGUGAGCGAAGACGCGUUCAAGCUGUUAACAACGCUUUUGUGAAGUUGAGGAAUGUUAUUCCUAUCCAAAACACCAGGGGGAAGAGAAUCAGUAAGGUUAAGACGUUGUUAUACGCCAUUGAUUAUAUCCGCGCUCUGGACGACAUGCUACACGAUCUGGCUUCUUAUAAUAUGAUUUACUGCGAGUUGCCGGAAGGGGAGAUUCGUCAAGCAGCUAAUUGGGUUUAACUAAAAAUGGUAGACGAAUUCCGAAGAUGGCAAUUAACGCAAACGUUCAACUACUAAAAAUAUUGGGGAAGUAAGAUGCAAACACCCUUGAGCGAUCUUAACGGAUUCUUCUGAUUUUCCAGUUUUCACCAUAUUUUCAGUCAAAUCAUUCUAGUCAUGCUUUAGUUUUAGCCCUCAGUUUAGCUAAGGUUAUAAUUGAAUUAUUUUGUACUUAAAAAAUAUACAUCAGAGUAAAAACUA